This 35-nucleotide non-coding RNA is filed under the name Roseobacter sp. The record is from RNAcentral. Lineage: Bacteria; Pseudomonadati; Pseudomonadota; Alphaproteobacteria; Rhodobacterales; Roseobacteraceae.
GGUCACAACGGCUUCCUGGCGUGACCAUUGGAGCA